Molecule: transfer RNA, 86 nt
Filed under: Asanoa ishikariensis
Lineage: Bacteria; Bacillati; Actinomycetota; Actinomycetes; Micromonosporales; Micromonosporaceae
Description: tRNA-Ser
Source: RNAcentral
GGAGGACAGCGCGGCGCGGUGCCGCAGCCGGUCUCGAAAACCGGAGCCGGCCGAAAGGCCGCGGGUUCAACUCCUGGGUCCUCCGC